GAUGAAGAACGCAGCGAAAUGCGAUAAGUAAUGUGAAUUGCAGAAUUCAGUGAAUCAUCGAAUCUUUGAACGCACAUUGCGCCCGCCAGUAUUCUGGCGGGCAUGCCUGUUCGAGCGUCAUUACAACCCUCAGGCCCCCGGGCCUGGCGUUGGGGAUCGGCGGAAGCCCCCUGCGGGCACAACGCCGUCCCCCAAAUACAGUGGCGGUCCCGCCGCAGCUUCCAUUGCGUAGUAGCUAACACCUCGCAACUGGAGAGCGGCGCGGCCACGCCGUAAAACACCCAACUUCUGAAUGUUGACCUCGAAUCAGGUAGGAAUACCCGCUGAACUUAAGCAUAUCAAUAAGCAGGA
RNAcentral lists this unclassified non-coding RNA (351 nucleotides) under soil metagenome. RNAcentral describes it as "partial contains 5.8S ribosomal RNA, internal transcribed spacer 2, and large subunit ribosomal RNA". The stretch from base 1 to 120 matches the Rfam family "5.8S ribosomal RNA", at positions 35 to 154 of the family's 154-position model. The record is from RNAcentral.